GGGCAUGUAGUGUAGUGGUUAUCGCGUCUCAUUUGCAUGUUUGCGAGUUGAGAAGGUCCCCAGUUCAAUUCUGGGUUUGUCCA
Molecule: non-coding RNA, 83 nt
Organism: Ceratobasidium sp. 428
Lineage: Eukaryota; Fungi; Basidiomycota; Agaricomycetes; Cantharellales; Ceratobasidiaceae
Source: the annotation of a GenBank genome assembly